This 308-nucleotide ribosomal RNA is filed under the name uncultured bacterium. Its description in RNAcentral is "partial 16S ribosomal RNA". It matches the Rfam family "Bacterial small subunit ribosomal RNA", at positions 505 to 808 of the family's 1533-position model. The record is from RNAcentral.
GAGACAGCAGUAGCCGCGGUAAUACGUAGGUCCCGAGCGUUGUCCGGAUUUAUUGGGCGUAAAGGGAGCGCAGGCGGUUUAGUAAGUCUGAAGUUAAAGGCAUUGGCUCAACCAAUGUAUGCUUUGGAAACUGUUAGACUUGAGUGCAGAAGGGGAGAGUGGAAUUCCAUGUGUAGCGGUGAAAUGCGUGGAUAUAUGGAGGAACACCGGUGGCGAAAGCGGCUCUCUGGUCUGUCACUGACGCUGAGGCUCGAAAGCGUGGGUAGCGAACAGGAUUAGAUACCCCCGUAGUCCCUGUCUCUUAUACA